This 440-nucleotide ribosomal RNA is filed under the name uncultured bacterium. RNAcentral's name for it is "partial 16S ribosomal RNA". It matches the Rfam family "Bacterial small subunit ribosomal RNA", at positions 338 to 795 of the family's 1533-position model. The record is from RNAcentral.
CCUACGGGAGGCAGCAGUGGGGAAUAUUGCACAAUGGGGGAAACCCUGAUGCAGCGACGCCGCGUGAGUGAAGAAGUAUUUCGGUAUGUAAAGCUCUAUCAGCAGGGAAGACAAUGACGGUACCUGAUUCAGAAGCCCCGGCUAACUACGGGCCAGCAGCCGCGGUAAUACGUAGGGGGCAAGCGUUAUCCGGAUUUACUGGGUGUAAAGGGAGCGUAGACGGCAGCACAAGUCUGGAGUGAAAUGCCGGGGCUUAACCCCGGAACUGCUUUGGAAACUGUGCAGCUAGAGUGCAGGAGAGGUAAGUGGAAGUCCUAGUGUAGCGGUGAAAUGCGUAGAUAUUAGGAGGAACACCAGUGGCGAAGGCGGCUUACUGGACUGUAACUGACGUUGAGGCUCGAAAGCGUGGGGAGCAAACAGGAUUAGAUACCCGGGUAGUC